This 497-nucleotide ribosomal RNA is filed under the name uncultured bacterium. Its description in RNAcentral is "partial 16S ribosomal RNA". It matches the Rfam family "Bacterial small subunit ribosomal RNA", at positions 28 to 507 of the family's 1533-position model. The record is from RNAcentral.
GAUGAACGCUGGCGGCGUGCCUAAUACAUGCAAGUCGAGCGAACGGACGAGAAGCUUGCUUCUCUGAUGUUAGCGGCGGACGGGUGAGUAACACGUGGAUAACCUACCUAUAAGACUGGGAUAACUUCGGGAAACCGUAGCUAAUACCGGAUAAUAUUUUGAACCGCAUGGUUCAAAAGUGAAAGACGGUCUUGCUGUCACUUAUAGAUGGAUCCGCGCUGCAUUAGCUAGUUGGUAAGGUAACGGCCUACCAAGGCAACGAUGCAUAGCCGACCUGAGAGGGUGAUCGGCCACACUGGAACUGAGACACGGUCCAGAGUCCUACGGGAGGCAGCAGUAGGGAAUCUUCCGCAAUGGGCGAAAGCCUGACGGAGCAACGCGGCGUGAGUGAUGAAGGUCUUCGGAUCGUAAAACUCUGUUAUUAGGGAAGAACAUAUGUGUAAGUAACUGUGCACAUCUUGACGGUACCUAAUCAGAAAGCCACGGCUAACUACGUG